AUUUCUGCAGCUUCACUCUUAUCUCUCUAACUCUCAAAUUCUCUCGCUAAGCUCCGAGAGCUUCUCGCCUUCAUCCUCUUGGAGUUCUUGACACAUCCAACCCCAAAAUCUUAUAUUGGAAUCUCUGAGACUCAAGGUUUUAGCCCCUGCAUUUUCUCUGUACCCUUGCCCAGUUUCUGGUGGUGGUCUUCUCUGGGCAAACUCCGACAAGUUUGUCGCCUGUGGCGCUCGAGUCUAGCUUGAACCUAUCCUAGAGUCUAACGAAGCACUCCGGCGAGUUUCUGUCGAAUCUGAGUUGGGUUUGACUCUCAUUCGCCUUAUUCUGUGUUUGGGUAAGUUCCUGAGCCUUUAGGAUAAUUUUCCUUCGAUUUAGAGCUAACAAACCUUCGAUUUGGACACGGGGGAAGGCCCUGAUCGUUUUCUGCAGAUUCUGGCAAUGGCACCAGCGACUACCAAUGGCAAUCUCCGUUGGACUUAACGGCGAUGUCAAUUGUGUCGUUAGACUUAACGGCAUAUUCUCCUCCACGUCAACUCUGUUAACUCUUUUCAGCGACGGCAAGUGCGACCUGUACUCGUUGAACCGUGACGGCAAGUAGGGUGUCGCGUUUGCUGGCGACGGCGACCACACAAGUGCGCGUGUUUUCUGGCAUGUGACGAUGCAUGGCACCACCGCGGCGGCACGUGGCCUAUGCAUGGCAGCGCGUUGCUGAAGUACGGCAAUGCAUGAUGUAGCGUCAAUAAGGAGAACCCUAGAGGUGACAAGCGGGAUUGGCAGUGAAGCGUCCAUCCUCUUUACUUUGGGUGAUGAUUCUUUACUGCAGUUUUUUCUAGUUUGUAAUAACUGUAUGAUCAUAUUUUCGAUUACGCAAAGCACUGCACUUUUAUGUGUUUACUGUUGUGUGAAACUUCUAGCUGCUCUAAUGUUAUGUGAUAGUAAUGGGAUCUUAUCCCUGUACUUGUGUCCCCAAGUGGGUAGGUUGA
Molecule: long non-coding RNA, 981 nt
Organism: Pyrus x bretschneideri (Chinese white pear)
Lineage: Eukaryota; Viridiplantae; Streptophyta; Magnoliopsida; Rosales; Rosaceae
Exons: 3
Source: RefSeq, a predicted model, not a curated record